UUUCCUAAAGGGUGCAAUUAAGUCAAGCUAUUCAUACAGCCCCCCACUUUUGACUAUUCAUAAAUACCUUUUUUCCACAACCUUAUAUAUAGGUACACCAAAACCCCCUCAUUGCCUCAUCAAACUCAUCAACUAUAUUGUUCUAUACCCAAAAAAAUAAUAAUCAAAGAAACAAACUAAGUCAAGAAUCCAAGUGAAAAUAGUUGUUACAUUCAAGUUAAUUAGAUAUGAAAACAGAAGGUUAUUUGUUGUCACUCCAGAUGCUAAACAAGAAUAAUAAUGAAAAUAUCAACGCGCCUAAACGUGUUAGCAAUGUUGGUGGUUCUCNNNNN
RNAcentral lists this long non-coding RNA (332 nucleotides) under Solanum tuberosum (potato). RNAcentral's name for it is "long non-coding RNA (STUB_LNC000693)". Lineage: Eukaryota; Viridiplantae; Streptophyta; Magnoliopsida; Solanales; Solanaceae. The record is from RNAcentral.